UGACAUUGCUUCUCAAGUAAUUGUGUACAGAGCAAGGCAAAAAGAUUCUUACUAGUACUAAACAAACUAUUCAUAGACUAAAAUUAGCUAAAGACAUUAAGAAAAUAAACAAAAUCUCAUCCAAGAUGAGAAGGAAAAAUGGAUGCCAUCUCUUCUCAGCCUGAAUCUACAAACUGUAGUACUGCCCGAUCCAGCACAUACCCCUAUUUACUUUUUCUCCAAACCCUCUUCUUACUCAUGAAGAGCAGAGCAAAAGAUUAAUAAAAUAAAAUAAAAAUAAAGAAAACAUAAAUGAAAAAAUAAAAAAAUAAAAAAGCUAAAAAGGAGGAAAAAAACUACAUCUUACAUCGAUAAAUGGCUAAAGAAAUGCAUGUGCUAAAAAAUCCAAAUCAGCCGGUGGACAACUGCAAGCAUGAACGUGCCAGAAGGUGAUACGUGACAUUCCUAUUUAAUUUGCAGCUGUUAGAAAUGCCAUUGAAGAAGCUCUCCCGUUUCCAUCGAGGAAACUAUCUAGCACAGGCUGCACAGGUAAAAAGCUGUCUGUAAAUUUGGUAAAGAGAGGAUGGGUUAUAAGCAGUGAAAGCAUGCACAUAAAAGGGCAGCUCGGUGCACUAAGCUCCCGCUAUGCGUGGGAUCCGGGGCCCCGAACCACAAGGGUCUAUUGUACGUAGCCUUACCCUGCAUUUCUGCAAGAGGUUAUUUCCACGGCUUGAACCCGUGACCUCCUG
This 728-nucleotide long non-coding RNA is filed under the name Nicotiana tabacum (common tobacco). RNAcentral describes it as "long non-coding RNA (NTAB_LNC019643)". The record is from RNAcentral. Lineage: Eukaryota; Viridiplantae; Streptophyta; Magnoliopsida; Solanales; Solanaceae.